GUGUCAGCCGCCGCGGUAAUACGGAGGGAGCUAGCGUUGUUCGGAAUUACUGGGCGUAAAGCGCGCGUAGGCGGUUUUUUAAGUCAGAGGUGAAAGCCCAGUGCUCAACACUGGAACUGCCUUUGAAACUGGAAAACUUGAAUCUUGGAGAGGUCAGUGGAAUUCCGAGUGUAGAGGUGAAAUUCGUAGAUAUUCGGAAGAACACCAGUGGCGAAGGCGACUGACUGGACAAGUAUUGACGCUGAGGUGCGAAAGCGUGGGGAGCAAACAGGAUUAGAAACCCCUGUAGUCC
RNAcentral lists this ribosomal RNA (292 nucleotides) under uncultured bacterium. Its description in RNAcentral is "partial 16S ribosomal RNA". It matches the Rfam family "Bacterial small subunit ribosomal RNA", at positions 505 to 796 of the family's 1533-position model. The record is from RNAcentral.